Molecule: ribosomal RNA, 467 nt
Filed under: uncultured bacterium
Lineage: Bacteria
Description: bacterial SSU rRNA
Rfam family: Bacterial small subunit ribosomal RNA
Source: RNAcentral
CGACCAGACUCCUACGGGAGGCAGCAGUGAGGAAUAUUGGUCAAUGGCCGGGAGGCUGAACCAGCCAAGUCGCGUGAGGGAAGACGGCCCUACGGGUUGUAAACCUCUUUUGUCAGGGAGCAAGGUGCAGGUCGGGACCUGCUGUGAGAGUACCUGAAGAAAAAGCAUCGGCUAACUCCGUGCCAGCAGCCGCGGUAAUACGGAGGAUGCGAGCGUUAUCCGGAUUUAUUGGGUUUAAAGGGUGCGCAGGCGGUCUGUUAAGUCAGGGGUGAAGCCCGGGGGCUCAACCCCGGCCCGCCGUUGAAACUGGCAGUCUCGAGUUGGAGAGAAGUAUGCGGAAUGCGCGGUGUAGCGGUGAAAUGCAUAGAUAUCGCGCAGAACUCCGAUUGCGAAGGCAGCAUGCCGGCUCCACACUGACGCUGAGGCACGAAAGCGUGGGUAUCGAACAGGAUUAGAUACCCUAGUAA